RNAcentral lists this ribosomal RNA (460 nucleotides) under uncultured bacterium. RNAcentral describes it as "partial 16S ribosomal RNA". It matches the Rfam family "Bacterial small subunit ribosomal RNA", at positions 338 to 795 of the family's 1533-position model. The record is from RNAcentral.
CCUACGGGGUGCAGCAGUGAGGAAUAUUGGUCAAUGGACGAGAGUCUGAACCAGCCAAGUAGCGUGAAGGAUGACUGCACUAUGGGUUGUAAACUUCUUUUAUAUGGGAAUAAAACAGGGUAUGCAUACCCUCUUGUAUGUACCAUAUGAAUAAGCAUCGGCUAACUCCGUGCCAGCAGCCGCGGUAAUACGGAGGAUACGAGCGUUAUCCGGAUUUAUUGGGUUUAAAGGGAGCGCAGGCGGAGUGUUAAGUCAGUUGUGAAAGUUUGCGGCUCAACCCUAAAAUUGCAGUUGAAACUGGCAGUCUGGAGUACAGUAGAGGUGGGCGGAAUUCGGGGUGUAGCGGUGAAAUGCUUAGAUAUCGCGAAGAACUCCGAUUGCGAAGGCAGCUCACUGGACUGCAACUGACACUGAUGCACGAAAGUGUGGGUAUCAAACAGGAUUAGAUACCCGAGUAGUC